AAGGUCUUAGCUUAAUUAAAGUGUCUGAUUUGCAUUCAGGAGAUGCGUAUUAAUAUUUCGCAGGUCUUA
RNAcentral lists this transfer RNA (69 nucleotides) under Uma scoparia scoparia. RNAcentral's name for it is "tRNA-Ala". It matches the Rfam family "tRNA". From Rfam's summary of the family: Transfer RNA (tRNA) molecules are approximately 80 nucleotides in length. Their secondary structure includes four short double-helical elements and three loops (D, anti-codon, and T loops). The record is from RNAcentral. Lineage: Eukaryota; Metazoa; Chordata; Lepidosauria; Squamata; Phrynosomatidae.